UAAUAAGUAAGAUUUUGCUUUCAGGUUUUGGUUAUACAAGUAUGCAUCUUGGUGCCCAUGAGUUGUUUAUGGAUCUAAAUUUCAAGCAAUGAAGAAGAAGAUGCUCCAAGUUUACAUCAUCUGCUCUUUCAGAUCCAUAUUUCAAUAACUUAGCUAAUGAAGAGAGAGAACCUUCUGCACAGCCAGUUUGAAAGUUGGAAUUUGAAUUUGAAAGGAGGAAGAUAACAAAGAUUAGACUCAGAAUUUGGACGGAGAGGCACCAAUGUUGAUAAUUAUAUUUGCAGAUGGUCAACAUGUUAAUUAUAUAUAUCUUUUCUUUUGAUCAUUCAUUGAUCAAAGGCUACCUUUAAGAUAUAUAUCUUUGAUCACAUAGCACAAGCCUUCUGGCUUCUUGUGUUAGAUAUAUAUGUUUGGCUAGUUAGUUUUGAUGAAAAUUCCAACAUAUAUCUGUGUAUGCUCUUAAAAGUGAA
This is a long non-coding RNA of Daucus carota subsp. sativus, 470 nucleotides long. RefSeq lists it as uncharacterized. NCBI's taxonomy places the organism in Eukaryota, Viridiplantae, Streptophyta, Magnoliopsida, Apiales, Apiaceae. The record is from RefSeq and is a predicted model, not a curated record. The transcript has 2 exons.